RNAcentral lists this ribosomal RNA (460 nucleotides) under uncultured bacterium. RNAcentral describes it as "partial 16S ribosomal RNA". It matches the Rfam family "Bacterial small subunit ribosomal RNA", at positions 338 to 795 of the family's 1533-position model. The record is from RNAcentral.
CCUACGGGUGGCAGCAGUGAGGAAUAUUGGUCAAUGGGCGCGAGCCUGAACCAGCCAAGUAGCGUGAAGGAUGACUGCCCUACGGGUUGUAAACUUCUUUUAUAAAGGAAUAAAGUGAGGCACGUGUGCCUUUUUGUAUGUACUUUAUGAAUAAGGAUCGGCUAACCCCGUGCCAGCAGCCGCGGGAAUACGGAGGAUCCGAGCGUUAUCCGGAUUUAUUGGGUUUAAAGGGAGCGUAGAUGGGUUGUUAAGUACGUUGGGAAAGUUUGCGGCUCAACCGUAAAAUUGCCAUUGAUACUGGCAGUCGUGAGUACAGGUGAGGUAGGCGGAAUGCGUGGUGUAGCGGUGAAAUGCUUAGAUAUCACGAAGAACUCCGAUUGCGAAGGCAGCUUACUAGACUGCCACUGACAUUGAUGCUCGAAAGUGUGGGUAUCAAACAGGAGUAGAUACCCUUGUAGUC